Phragmites australis (common reed) is the source of this 778-nucleotide long non-coding RNA. RefSeq lists it as uncharacterized. NCBI's taxonomy places the organism in Eukaryota, Viridiplantae, Streptophyta, Magnoliopsida, Poales, Poaceae. The record is from RefSeq and is a predicted model, not a curated record. The transcript has 2 exons.
AUUGCAUUGAAGGGCUGCUGCCAGCCCAACCCUACACCGUGCACCCCAGUCCGCGCCACCGGCCACCGCGCGGCAUUGCGAGGCGGCAGGCGCAGACCGCCCGCGUUGAGGUCGCUGCUUGACCCGCGCGCCCCCACCGCGGAGCUAUUCGAGGCUCCGUCAGUGGGUUUCUAGGCUCGAGUCUCUUGGUCGCUGCUGGCCUGACACGGGGCACCCGUCCCAGGACGCCCACCACCUGCUCGUGCAAAUGCGCAGGACGGCCAGCCACCAAGGCACCGCCCGUUGAUCGUCCGCAAGAUUACUCAGGGAACCUAGAGCAGGACCCAGAGAGAGAAUUGGCAUUACGCGAAUUAAAGUCGUGGCUGGAGCUGCUCGUCUGCUGGGUUCAUGGUUCCCCGAGGGAAGUGUAGGAGUAUAUAGAUGCAGAUAUGCUUUCAAUGCCAUCCAAUUUACAGAUUCACAGGACAAAGAAAGGCAAUGCUCUGAAGUGUACACACAGAAUGACUCCCACUCGCGCUGAAGGCUAUGCAUCACUUCUGUCGUGAAGGUCAGAAUUACGAAGUGUCAGUUCAUCUUAUAGUUCGCUGAUUAGGCUACUAAUCAGUAAUUACUCAUUGCUUUGGAAAGGAAGCAUCGUGCCAUGCAUUUUCUCUAGGCCCUGCUCGAACUCAUAGGGUUGUCUCACAUGGCAAAAGCUAUUAUUCUGAUGAGCCCUUGCUAAGUGCCGACUUCACUACUCGAACUCUCUCAUCAUUUGAGUACCAGAAGCUAUCCUCUA